RNAcentral lists this long non-coding RNA (268 nucleotides) under Junco hyemalis (dark-eyed junco). RNAcentral's name for it is "lncRNA (ENSJHYG00000012487.1)". The record is from RNAcentral. Lineage: Eukaryota; Metazoa; Chordata; Aves; Passeriformes; Passerellidae.
AGACAAUCAGCUGGAGUUUGCUGAAGAAUUCAAGGAUUCAGCACCUCAGAGGAGGGGAGAUGACCUCCUCUGGCAUCAAGAGAGCACUUGUAGCACAAAUCCAGGGGAGGAGAGGUCUGGUCACGGUGCUGAAGCUGCAGUGAGAGCAGCAGUCCCUGCCCUCCGAUGUCACUGUCAUAUUCUCUGAAAAAUCCUUUCACCGGGAUUUCUUCUUCUGGGAAGCUGAGAAGCCUCAGGUAAAAAGGAAAACAAUAUUAUCUCAUUUGUU